CCUGCUGGCGGCGGGGAGCGAGCCGCUGAAGGCAGCGGCGGGCCCCGAGCCGGGGGGGCGCGGGCGGCGGCGGCCGGCGGAAAGCGGUAUCUGCUAACAGAAGAUGAUUUAAAGUUACAAGAAUUUCAGCGGGCAAAAUUGGCAAUUAGAAAUGAAGUUCAUGGCAGUAAAGAUCCAUAUUUUAAAAGUAUUAAAGAAAAAUUAAAGAAAAAUGGAAUGAUUCUCAAACAUGAAUUAAAAAUUUUACUGCAUUUAUGUCAGACUUCUUCUGAUGUGGAACUAGCCAGAAAAGUUAUUUACAGGUACUUUUACCAAAGAAGGUACCAUGAACAGAAUAGCAUUACAACUCCAUGUGAUUUUAAAUUUGGACCUCUGUUUAUGAGACUGUGUUAUGAGCUGGGCCUUGAAACACCUGCAGUAGAACUUAUCAAAGAUCAGAACUUGCGUGGUUUUUUCUCAGAGUGUACAUCAUUUCAUAUUCUGAUGACUAUGUUGUUUAAAAAGGGCCGCUACGAAAAUGCUUUGGAAAUUCUCUUAGAAAUGAAAAAGCAAGGUAUACCUUUCAACAAAGAAACCUAUCUACUUGCGUUUGCAAUAUGCUACAAAUUGGACAACCUGGAGUCUUGCAAAAUCUCUGCAAAGCUACUUGAAGAAGCACAGCUAAAAGGUGACACAUUACCACUGCGAGCAUUCUACUUUGCUGUGGCAUUUGCUCUGAAACAGAAUGAUGUGGCACAAGCCCAAUUCUAUCAUUCUCAGAUAAUGAAAACAGAAAACAAACUAUACAGUAAUAUUAGUGUUCUUGUCCAGCUCAAGACUGGUUCACUAGAAGAAGUGGUAAAGACAUUAGAGGCAGCUGUGGAAGUAGAUACUCCACCCUUUGUGAAAAAAAUUGAGUUUUCUGAGCAGGUGUUGUCUGGACAUCCUAACCAAUUCCAGCAGCACAUGUAGUGAGAACUGGGAUUGUCACCUGCCAAAGCACAGAUGCUGGUUACUGCAAGUACUGAUGCUCUAAAUAACAAAACUUCUCGUAUGCUGUCAGAUUUGGUUGCCCCAUCUAAAGAGAGAGCUGCUGUCUUCCCAACGUGACCUUCAGCAGUCAGCUAUUCUGUGGUCCCAAAAUGGUACAUUGCAGUGUAUUUAUUUCUUUUCCUCAGUUGUGCACACAUAUGGAAUCAGAUGCGAUUUUUUUCCCCCAUUGUGUUUUGCUCUAUUCUGUUCCUUUGCUACCAUUUGGCAAGAGGUGUAACACUUUGUGCUCAAUUUGCCAAUGAAAUUAUCAUGCAUGUUAUUAUACCAUUUUGCUUGCAUAAAUGCUCAGUCUUCCUGUUAGCUGCAAGGACUAAUUUGCACAUGUGGUUUUUGUCUUAUAAAUAUUCAAGGUCAGUCUUAUAAAUAGUGAAUCAGGUCAUUAGUGUGUGUUCUGAGCAAGACUGCUCAUUUAAUUAGGCUGGACAUUUGUUCAGCCAGCCUUGAAGCUGCAAGUUAUACUAAUACUGUGAUGUUUCUUUCUUUUUUUAAAAAAAAAUUCUUAAACUUGCACAUUCAGAUAGAAACCUAGUGAAAAUAGAGUCAUAGGGAAGAGGAAGUGAGGACUGCACCUUCAUGUCAGAGGAAAAAAAAAACAUCAGUGGAUAUCUACUUCAGCAGAGCUGCUUUUCCUAUCCAGGAUGCAGUAGUCACAAUUCUUAUGUGAAUUAGGACAAAUCACAGGAAUGCGGAUGGGUAGUAGCAAAUCAGCUGGUUCACAGGUACACUGAAAAUGUUUUCCAGUUGUUUCAAUACCUGUGAUAUCCUAUUAAAUGGCUUAAUAUGCUUCUGAUAAAUAUAUUCUUAAAAAAAGAAAACAUAUGAUGACUGUAAGGUUGAGUUUGAUUGAAUCAGAUUUAGUUUGCAAUGCAAUAGUUUAGGAAACUUUCCUGUAAAUGGCAUGAAUGACUGGCAUCUCUCUGCUUCUGAGCGUAAGUACAGAUAGAGCCUUUGUAUACUGCCGUGGUCAUAAUACAAAAUUAGCAUAAGAACUGAAAUAGUUCCUUAGGACUGCAUGAAAUAAUACAGCUGAGCUUUUUCCUGAGCUGCUAACCAGAAAGUCUGAGGGACUAAGAAAUUACAUUUAUAUAAUGCAAUUACUCCACUUACUUUAAAGACAUACUUAUGGUCAAAUUUUUGAUAUCUGCCUCCAUUUUGGAGAGCCUCUCUCUAGAAAUGUAGAGAACUUUCAGAUGCUAUUUCAUAUGGACUUUUUGUGCUGCUAUUUCAUGUGGACUUUCAGCUCUGAGAAUCAUGUACAAGGUAGGAUGUACCAGAAAUGAGGCACCUCAGACUGCAUGUCCUUUGUAAAAGCACUGCCUACAGCUUUUGCUGGCCCUUGUAUGGUAUUUCAGUGAAUUCUAGCUGUGAAUAGAAUUUAAUAGCUCCUGGCAGUCACAUGCCAGGUCUAAGUGAUGUUAACCAAGCUGUCUUACUUCUACAACCCUUCCUAGUGCCAAAAAUAGAGAGAGGAAUAUUCUGGGAAGUGACAUGGUUUUCCUACACUCCAGGCAAAUCUAAAGAUCAUGAAAACUUGAAAAUUUUUCAAUUCCAGCACAGUUAACCUUAGAAACAUCAUAGAACCCAAGGUGUUUGGAUGAUACAAUAAAACUGGCUUUGAUUUACAGUAUAACUUUUCCUAUUACAGCAUUGCAAUAGGCUAUAUUCAGAUAUGUGGAGCUCCUUGGAUUCUGUAGAAACACACAAUAAUAUAGAAGCCAGUACUCCACUGGUAUAAGUUAUCGUAUGUCACUUAGCUUCAGCUGAACUAGGGUUAUUUCUGCUAUGAGAGUACUUUCUCUGGAACACCAGAGGUAAUCCAUAUCAAACGAGACUUUAUAAAUGUGGUUAAAAGGGCAGCACAGAGAAUGCUGUUGUUUAAACAAUGAGCAGAAACAUAAUAAGCGAGAAUGCUUCCUGUUCCCCUAAAUGACCUUAAGGGAAAAAAUGAAGGUAUAAAACUGAAAAUGUCAGACAUAUUUUAAAAAAGAGCCCCCCCCCUUUUUUUUUUAGUAAUAGAGCCAGAUUCAGUCCAUAAGUGUAGAAAAACCCACAUCAGAUUUGCAAUUUAUGGCACACCUAUGUGUGCUACCUAUUUUGGUGGUACACACCAUGCACCUAUUUUGGCCUUGUCUAAUUUAAGUUUUGUUCACUGUAUGAAUUUUUGUAUGGUUUCUGUCUCAUCAUUGGCAAGGUUAUUUUGGUAUUCCCUGACCUGCCAGUAAACCAUUUGCCUUUUAUUGAUCUCGAUCCAUGCAGAUAUAUUUCUCUUUCUCUGGUAGUGCAGUAUUGCUGCUGGGUAGCUAAGCAUGCAGCUCAUACUCUGCAAGGCAAGGUAAGAAGAAAAGCAGAGACCUUUUCCUGUGUUAUAAACCUAUCUAUCUUUCUCCAUCCGAUCAAUACUACUGCAACGAUCUUUGCUGCUGCUGUUCUUUUACACUUAUGCAAUAAAGCAAGAAUCUGAAUUUACCAUUUCUACAGUGAACCAGUGACAAAAAUGUCUUACUAAAUCUGGACUCACCUCUGUCAUUUUGGUGAAGAUGGAGUGGGACCGCAAUUCUUUUCAGUGAUGGAUUAAAAUGUUUGAAAACUAUGAACUUGAAAGUAAGGUCAAAGAGCUUUCUGAGGAGAGAAAAUGUUCUACUUGCAUAGUGUAUUGGAACUGAAAACCAGCUGGUAUUUUGUGCACUUCCUCUCACUAAUGAUAAAUGUGAUACUGCACUCCUGGCAUUGGACACGUUUUUGUGUGCGUAAACUAUGUAUUGUAGCUGUAACCUAUAAAUUUCAGCAGCAUGGACAGAAACUGGGCAAAUAAACAAAACAGUAUUUUGCUGCUUCAUAGGACCAGGUAGUCAUGUGCACUUGGAAGCAAGGCAAAUGAAAUAAUGUGAGAUUGGCUCAAAGUAUUACAAAGCAUUUAUUGCUAGAAUCAGACCUGGUAUUACAGAUGACUGUUGGUUCUCAUCAUGCUGAAUAAGCAACUGCAGAAGACAAAUGAAAGUGGGAUAAAGCAAGAACUGUUCAAGCUUUACAAACAGAGCUGUAUCUGAAAUUCCAGUAUGGUGAAUAUAGAGCCACAAAUUCAAGCAAAUUCUAUGUACACAGGAGAAAUCUUCUAUAGCUGUAGAUCUAAAGCACAGAUGCCAGUUACGCUGGAUAUUCUACAAAAGAAAUUCUGCAAAUACUACAUAAAAAUUGAAUGUACCGAAUAAAAUAAAUCCCUUACACACUGUGGAUGUAAUGAUGUGUUCAGUUAAAGUUUCUGUUGUAUUAGAACAGCUGCAAGUUUGUCAUUGACUGCAGAGGCAUUAUAUUGCCUUAGAUCCAUCUACUUGCUAUGUUUUAGAUACUUUCAACAUAGUUUUACUCUAUGUUCAAUAUCUACAAGACUGAAUUUCUCUUCAGGAUUCCUUCUAAGGAAAUGACUUUUGAUUCAUACUGCAUACUUGCUGAAUUCUUUACUGUGCGUGCUGUCAUUCUUAUUUAGAACAAGUACCCGCUGGCUACACUGAAGUUGCAUGUUUAAAAGAUGUAUUAUUUCAACAUUGUCACCAUCUUUGCAAAAAUGAUUUUUGUUUCAGCUGUCAUACAGAUAAUAUUAAGGAAACAGCUUGUUCUGCAAAAUGCAUUGUUCGUAGAAUUAAAAUUUGUCUUAUCGUGAUAAUGGUACAGUAAAGAAAUAUACCCUCUGUAAUGACAGAACAUGAGAUGCUGACUCUCAAGAGCUUCAAAAACUCUAAUUCUAUCAAAGUGAUUGCAUCCUUGGAAUGGUUUCAAAGAAUAAUGGAAAUACAGAAUAAUGCUAAAUUUAUUUAUUUAUGGAGGUCAUGGCGACCUUCAUCCAUUCAAUUCUACACAUAAAAGAACAAUUAAAAGAACUUUGUCGUGAAAGAUAUUUCACUGCACUACUAACUCACAUCGUGUUUGGACAAAUAAUGCUAAAUCAGAAACAAAUACCUCACCGUAUUUAUUAACAAUGAUGGCCUUUUUAUUUUGAAUGUAUGUUAAAUGUUUUUACAUAUACAUUUACAUAUAUAUGUACAAAUGCAUUUACAUACACAGGAAGAGUGUUUGUAAAUAUAUGUAUAUCAUGAGCAAGGUGAAUACAUUUUGCCUUAAGAUGUCUGUGAGCCAUAGAGUGUUUUGAAUCUAUGUCACUUUGUACCAGGGCCCAUAUCUGUUUAUCCUAAGUCACAGCUCACCUAAAUGUACCCUAGUUAUUUCACACAUGUAAUUGCAGAGUACAAAAAUGACAUCAAAGUAGGAAGGAAUUGAGGGAGGAGUAAGGAACUUUAUCUCCUCUAAGAAAAGAGAAUUGUGUGGUAGUGCUGUAGUGGUGCUAAGCAGUGAAGGAUACUGCUCAGGCAAGGUAAAGUGAGAAGUGAGGCUCUUGUGUUUCACUGAGACUGACCUAUCUUUGUGCACAUGCUUCGUACCACUGUGUCAUAUGCAAGGACCACAUUUUAUUUCUAUUACUCCUUUUUCUCCUUAAAUAAAGUUUUUAAACCUUGUCCUCUUAAAGUCAUUCCUCUGGAGUAUGUUGUUGGAUGGAAUAUGUUUUCACUGAAAAUAAACAGCUAUGCAAAAUAAAUAGCUAUGCUUUUUCAAAUAAAACACAAAUAGGCAUGUUGACUGAGUUCUGCUUGCAUCCACAACAGAAAAUCAUAAAAUUCUUUGUUAUACCACAGAAUUUUUAAAAUAAACCUUGUUAU
This is an RNA transcript of Rhea pennata, 5741 nucleotides long. It is a transcript of the gene named pentatricopeptide repeat domain 2, with no coding region annotated. The transcript is spliced from 11 exons. The record is from RefSeq and is a predicted model, not a curated record. NCBI's taxonomy places the organism in Eukaryota, Metazoa, Chordata, Aves, Rheiformes, Rheidae.